AGAACGAACGCUGGCGGCAUGCCUAACACAUGCAAGUCGAACGCGUGAAGCAAUCCACGAGUGGCGGACGGGUGAGUAACGCGUGGGAACCUGCCCUGGAGUGUGGGAUAACCGAGGGAAACUUCGGCUAAUACCGCAUACGACCUGAGGGUGAAAGAUUUAUCGCUCUAGGAGGGGCCCGCGUCGGAUUAGCUAGUUGGUGGGGUAAAGGCCUACCAAGGCAGUGAUCCGUAGCUGGUCUGAGAGGAUGAUCAGCCACACUGGGACUGAGACACGGCCCAGACUCCUACGGGAGGCAGCAGUGGGGAAUAUUGGACAAUGGGGGCAACCCUGAUCCAGCAAUGCCGCGUGAGUGAUGAAGGCCUUAGGGUUGUAAAGCUCUUUCGCGCGCGACGAUGAUGACGGUAGCGCGAGAAGAGCCCGGCUAACUUCGUGCCAGCAGCCGC
Molecule: ribosomal RNA, 446 nt
Filed under: uncultured bacterium
Lineage: Bacteria
Description: SSU rRNA
Rfam family: Bacterial small subunit ribosomal RNA
Source: RNAcentral